Molecule: long non-coding RNA, 970 nt
Filed under: Apteryx owenii (little spotted kiwi)
Lineage: Eukaryota; Metazoa; Chordata; Aves; Apterygiformes; Apterygidae
Description: lncRNA (ENSAOWG00000006466.1)
Source: RNAcentral
UGCUUUGUCUGAAGAGAAUUAUUCUUCCUUCUACUAAUGUAUAGUGCUUGCAAGAGGCACAGAUAUCCCUAAACAUCAAUGCCAGUCCUGUCCCACUGUGGCUUUGUCCUUUCAGCUCUUCCUGCACAAGGAGACCCAAGGCACAAGGAGACCCAGGGACCUUCCUCUCCAAAGCUGGCUUGUUCAUCACUUCCUGAUAAAAGUUUAGGCAAGCUGAGAGACUCCUGCUGAAUGAGUUACUACUUCAUCAUCUUGGUGCUAUUUGAAUGGCAUUCAUCAGCGCAGCGUGAACAGUCUCACAGCGUCUCUUCUCACAUCACAGCCAAAUAUGACUUACCUCUCCACAAAAAUGAAACUAGCAUUAAAUAACAACUUUCAAGUGAUGAGAAUAGAUGUGGUAGAAUUCUAGAAUCCAGGACUAUUUCAGGGUAAGCGAACCUGAGUAUUUGGCUUGCUUCUCCUCCAUCCCCUCCAAAAACUAAGCAUAUUUAUAUUCUCUGGCCUUAAUCAUCUUCCAUUUCCUGUACAGAGAGACAUUCCAAGUCAUAAAAUUACUCACUUUGUCACCCAUACUAAAAAGUCUAAGCAAAUACACAACACUGUGUUAAAGAACCUCCACCAGGUAAGAGUGUUUGUGAUGACUUUGAAAAACCUUUCAUGUACACUGUUCAUAAGCCCUCCACGGACAAGGAGAAGAAAUUCUUCUUAGUCAGGGAAGCUGAAGUAGAAUAGUAAGCGAUCAGCCUUCUAGCUGAACUAGUCUUUGUCAAUAAUCAGUAAUCUGUGUAAUACCGCGUAGCUACACAGUACCCAGAAAACCAAAAUGACAUUAUAUUUUUCUGGGUUUGUUCCAGUCUACAAGAUAGGUCAAGACAUGGCAAAGAACAGGUAUUGUGAGAUUAUAGCUGAAAAAAACCUUCUAGGGGAUUUCUGGAAUAAAUGAAUUGGAAGGAAAGAGAAUAUCUUAUGG